AUUGAACGCUGGCGGCAGGCUUAACACAUGCAAGUCGAGCGGGGGAAGGUAGCUUGCUACCGGACCUAGCGGCGGACGGGUGAGUAAUGCUUAGGAAUCUGCCUAUUAGUGGGGGACAACAUCUCGAAAGGGAUGCUAAUACCGCAUACGUCCUACGGGAGAAAGCAGGGGAUCUUCGGACCUUGCGCUAAUAGAUGAGCCUAAGUCGGAUUAGCUAGUUGGUGGGGUAAAGGCCUACCAAGGCGACGAUCUGUAGCGGGUCUGAGAGGAUGAUCCGCCACACUGGGACUGAGACGCGGCCCAGACUCCUACGGGAGGCAGCAGUGGGGAAUAUUGGACAAUGGGGGGAACCCUGAUCCAGCCAUGCCGCGUGUGUGAAGAAGGCCUUAUGGUUGUAAAGCACUUUAAGCGAGGAGGAGGCUACUCUAGUUAAUACCUAGGGAUAGUGGACGUUACUCGCAGAAUAAGCACCGGCUAACUCUGUGCCAGCAGCCGCUGUAA
This 501-nucleotide ribosomal RNA is filed under the name uncultured bacterium. RNAcentral describes it as "partial 16S ribosomal RNA". It matches the Rfam family "Bacterial small subunit ribosomal RNA", at positions 30 to 523 of the family's 1533-position model. The record is from RNAcentral.